This 330-nucleotide ribosomal RNA is filed under the name uncultured bacterium. RNAcentral describes it as "bacterial SSU rRNA". It matches the Rfam family "Bacterial small subunit ribosomal RNA", at positions 568 to 898 of the family's 1533-position model. The record is from RNAcentral.
UGUGUAGGCGGUUGUUUAAGUUUGGUGUGAAAUCUCCCGGCUUAACUGGGAGGGUGCGCCGAAUACUGAAUGACUAGAGUGCGGGAGAGGAAAGUGGAAUUCCUGGUGUAGCGGUGAAAUGCGUAGAUAUCAGGAGGAACACCGGUGGUGUAGACGGCUUUCUGGACCGUAACUGACGCUGAAACACGAAAGCGUGGGUAGCAAACAGGAUUAGAUACCCUGGUAGUCCACGCCCUAAACGAUGCAUAUUUGGUGUGGGCAGUUCAUUCUGUCCGUGCCGGAGCUAACGCGUUAAAUAUGCCGCCUGGGGAGUACAGUCGCAAGGCUGAA